RNAcentral lists this ribosomal RNA (200 nucleotides) under uncultured bacterium. RNAcentral's name for it is "partial 16S ribosomal RNA". It matches the Rfam family "Bacterial small subunit ribosomal RNA", at positions 30 to 232 of the family's 1533-position model. The record is from RNAcentral.
AUUGAACGCUGGCGGCAGGCCUAACACAUGCAAGUCGAGCGCGAAAGUUCUUCGGAAUGAGUAAAGCGGCGGACGGGUGAGUAAUACAUGGGAAUCUGCCUGGUAGUGGGGGACAACGUUUUGAAAGGAACGCUAAUACCGCAUACGCCCUACGGGGGAAAGGGGGGGAGUCUUCGGACCUCUCGCUAUCAGAUGAGCCC